AUUCUAAUAACUAGGGUGCCUGCGAGGUUAUCCCAUUGCUUCUCGACUCUACCUACUUUGGUUUGGCCGCCGAUCAGUUGAGGAGAGAGCAGCUCUGGCGUUACGCAUAGCUGGCUGUUAGCUUAGAUUCCUUACGAUGUUACUACUAACAGUUUUUGUAACCAUAACCCGAGUAAAAUCGGGUUUUUAUUU
This 192-nucleotide small RNA is filed under the name Vibrio aquimaris. Its description in RNAcentral is "MicX Vibrio cholerae sRNA". It matches the Rfam family "MicX Vibrio cholerae sRNA". The record is from Rfam by way of RNAcentral. Lineage: Bacteria; Pseudomonadati; Pseudomonadota; Gammaproteobacteria; Vibrionales; Vibrionaceae.